Molecule: ribosomal RNA, 1316 nt
Filed under: Staphylococcus aureus
Lineage: Bacteria; Bacillati; Bacillota; Bacilli; Caryophanales; Staphylococcaceae
Description: bacterial SSU rRNA
Rfam family: Bacterial small subunit ribosomal RNA
Source: RNAcentral
UUUAUGGAGAGUUUGAUCCUGGCUCAGGAUGAACGCUGGCGGCGUGCCUAAUACAUGCAAGUCGAGCGAACGGACGAGAAGCUUGCUUCUCUGAUGUUAGCGGCGGACGGGUGAGUAACACGUGGAUAACCUACCUAUAAGACUGGGAUAACUUCGGGAAACCGGAGCUAAUACCGGAUAAUAUUUUGAACCGCAUGGUUCAAAAGUGAAAGACGGUCUUGCUGUCACUUAUAGAUGGAUCCGCGCUGCAUUAGCUAGUUGGUAAGGUAACGGCUUACCAAGGCAACGAUGCAUAGCCGACCUGAGAGGGUGAUCGGCCACACUGGAACUGAGACACGGUCCAGACUCCUACGGGAGGCAGCAGUAGGGAAUCUUCCGCAAUGGGCGAAAGCCUGACGGAGCAACGCCGCGUGAGUGAUGAAGGUCUUCGGAUCGUAAAACUCUGUUAUUAGGGAAGAACAUAUGUGUAAGUAACUGUGCACAUCUUGACGGUACCUAAUCAGAAAGCCACGGCUAACUACGUGCCAGCAGCCGCGGUAAUACGUAGGUGGCAAGCGUUAUCCGGAAUUAUUGGGCGUAAAGCGCGCGUAGGCGGUUUUUUAAGUCUGAUGUGAAAGCCCACGGCUCAACCGUGGAGGGUCAUUGGAAACUGGAAAACUUGAGUGCAGAAGAGGAAAGUGGAAUUCCAUGUGUAGCGGUGAAAUGCGCAGAGAUAUGGAGGAACACCAGUGGCGAAGGCGACUUUCUGGUCUGUAACUGACGCUGAUGUGCGAAAGCGUGGGGAUCAAACAGGAUUAGAUACCCUGGUAGUCCACGCCGUAAACGAUGAGUGCUAAGUGUUAGGGGGUUUCCGCCCCUUAGUGCUGCAGCUAACGCAUUAAGCACUCCGCCUGGGGAGUACGACCGCAAGGUUGAAACUCAAAGGAAUUGACGGGGACCCGCACAAGCGGUGGAGCAUGUGGUUUAAUUCGAAGCAACGCGAAGAACCUUACCAAAUCUUGACAUCCUUUGACAACUCUAGAGAUAGAGCCUUCCCCUUCGGGGGACAAAGUGACAGGUGGUGCAUGGUUGUCGUCAGCUCGUGUCGUGAGAUGUUGGGUUAAGUCCCGCAACGAGCGCAACCCUUAAGCUUAGUUGCCAUCAUUAAGUUGGGCACUCUAAGUUGACUGCCGGUGACAAACCGGAGGAAGGUGGGGAUGACGUCAAAUCAUCAUGCCCCUUAUGAUUUGGGCUACACACGUGCUACAAUGGACAAUACAAAGGGCAGCGAAACCGCGAGGUCAAGCAAAUCCCAUAAAGUUGUUCUCAGUUCGGAU